CUUUUCUCGAGGGUUGGAUAAAAGCAUAAACCUCACUUCCAACGGAAACCUCGAGAGCGCUCUCUCGCUCGCCCAUACUCUCCUCCGCCGCGUCUCCAUCCUCUCCUCGCCGCCGCCGCCGUCGUAUUCUCCUCCGUUCCGCUCCACCACUCCGGCGGACCAGCCAUGGAGGAGUACCUGGCUAACAUGAAGACCCUCCGCUCCUACAUGAGCGAUCUGGAGGAGGAAGCGACGAAGCGGUCGGCGGAGGAGCAGCGGCAGCGCACUGCCAUCGACGCCCACGGCGCCGACCUCGCCCAAGUGAGGGCGCAGACGAAGCAGGCUAGCGAGGAGUCCGAGCAGCUUUCGAAGGCGAGGGCGGAGCUCUGCGUAGAGAUAUCCGAGAAGCAGGGCAGGAUUGCCACGCUGGAGAUUGAGUGCGCCACGCUGAAGCAGACCUUGGAGCUCCUCCAUCAGGAAAUCGCAAGUACUUCUUCAAAACUCAUUGAGAAAAGAUUGUUCUACACAAAGACAAUAGAAAGCCUGACGGUCAAAUUACAAGAGCAACAGGAAUGGCUUGGUGCAUUUAAGCUUAAGGUGAUUACAAUUGAACCAUCUGUUGAAGAGUCUCAGAGCAAGCAAAACCUUCAAGGACAAAGCCAUGGAAUACUUAACUCAUGUGGGAGCCUAGAUAAGGGAAAUGACAUUGGAAGCAAGCAAGGAGAACUCAGGAUUCAACUGGAGUCAACUAAACAUAAGAUCGACGAGAUCAAAGAAAAACAAUCAGCACUUCUUACGGAAAUCAGCGAAAGUAAGCAGGUCAUAGAGCAAGAGAAAAAUGCAAUUUCUGGCUUUCUUGUAUGUUUAGGCUCCACUACAACAGAUGGAUAUGAAAUCCUUAGAGGAGGAACACAAAGCUCUACAAGCUGAUAAAGCUGGAGAAAUUGAGUACUUUCAGUCUCUUGAAGAACGUAUAAAUGAAAUGAAGGGAGUUUCUGAUGCAGUAAAAUGCCGUUGCGGAUUGGAGUACAAGGUCGAACUAGGUGGCGAAGCCAUGGAUCUAAGCUAAACUUGUCCGUAGUGCGUAAUGGCCACAGUUACACACUGUAAAAUGCUUAUAUACAUGUUACUGCUUUGGGAUAGUUUGACAACUUCAUAUCGAGAUUAUAUUGAUGACGUCUAGUCGUCUACCAGUGGAAAGAGAUACUAAAUUGCAUAAGCUAGAACAUUGUCAAUGAAGUUAUCCAGAGUAGAUUAUAUUCAUUGGAGAGAUGUAACAUGGUUGAGAUAAGCUAAAAUUUUAUGCGGCUCA
RNA transcript from Oryza sativa Japonica Group (Japanese rice), 1291 nucleotides. RefSeq lists it as uncharacterized. NCBI's taxonomy places the organism in Eukaryota, Viridiplantae, Streptophyta, Magnoliopsida, Poales, Poaceae. The record is from RefSeq and is a predicted model, not a curated record.